CACCGCGGUUAUACGAGGGGUUCAAGUUGAUGUCUGUCGGCGUAAAGAGUGAUUACAGGAGAAUAUAUAACUAAAGCCGAAGACCCCUUGGGCUGUUUUACGCAUCUGGGGGCUAUUAAGCUCUUUAACGAAGGUAGCUUUAAAAGAUUAUAUCCUCGAGUUCACGAUAGCUAAGGUA
RNAcentral lists this ribosomal RNA (178 nucleotides) under Albula pacifica (shafted bonefish). RNAcentral describes it as "partial small subunit ribosomal RNA". Lineage: Eukaryota; Metazoa; Chordata; Actinopteri; Albuliformes; Albulidae. The record is from RNAcentral.